This is a non-coding RNA of Vicia faba (fava bean), 345 nucleotides long. The record is from the annotation of a GenBank genome assembly. Lineage: Eukaryota; Viridiplantae; Streptophyta; Magnoliopsida; Fabales; Fabaceae.
AUGCUAGGGUUUAGAACGACUAUUCAGCUUCCAUCCAUGAAAGCGAUUCUCUUUCUCCUUCAAUCUUCAGACUCAGUGUUUUCCUCUUCUUCACUAUCUGAUUCGGACACCAACGGAAAUCAAAACGCCAUCGCCGAUCUCCAUCGCAUCUUCAAAGUUCUUCAUCCGACUUCAAUUCCGUCUUCGAUAUGUUUUCGACGCGAGCCUCCGUCUCACUCAAACGCAUAUUCAUGGUGCUUUAGCUUCGAGGUCCACCGCGAUUCUACCUCUCAUUCUGGUUUAGCUUCAACUUUAAAACAUGGCUCCGAUUCGAUUUCGUCGUUAUCGAUAUAUCAUAGAAGCUAA